ACGAUGUACACUAGUUGUUGUGAGGCUCGACCUUGCAGUAAUGCAGUUAACACAUUAAGUGUACCGCCUGGGGAGUACGGUCGCAAGAUUAAAACUCAAAGGAAUAGACGGGGACCCGCACAAGCGGUGGAGCAUGUGGUUUAAUUCGACGAUACACGAAGAACCUUACCUGGACUUGACAUAGUAAGAAUGAUUUAGAGAUAGAUUAGUGUCUGCUUGCAGAAACUUGCAUACAGGUGCUGCACGGCUGUCGUCAGCUCGUGUCGUGAGAUGUUGGGUUAAGUCCCGCAACGAGCGCAACCCUCGUCCUUAGUUGCUAACAGUUCGGCUGAGAACUCUAAGGAGACUGCCUACGCAAGUAGGAGGAAGGUGAGGAUGACGUCAAGUCAUCAUGGCCCUUACGUCCAGGGCUACACACGUGCUACAAUGGGGUAUACAAAGAGCAGCAAUACGGUGACGUGGAGCAAAUCUCAAAAAUGCCUCCCAGUUCGGAUUGUAGUCUGCAACUCGACUACAUGAAGUUGGAAUCGCUAGUAAUCGUAGAUCAGCUAUGCUACGGUGAAUACGUU
This 569-nucleotide ribosomal RNA is filed under the name Aliarcobacter butzleri. RNAcentral's name for it is "bacterial SSU rRNA". It matches the Rfam family "Bacterial small subunit ribosomal RNA", at positions 806 to 1372 of the family's 1533-position model. The record is from RNAcentral. Lineage: Bacteria; Pseudomonadati; Campylobacterota; Epsilonproteobacteria; Campylobacterales; Arcobacteraceae.